GCCCCUAUAGCUCAGUCAGGAUAGAGCGCUCGCCUGCUAAUCGAGAGGUCGCGGGUUCAAGUCCCGCUGGGGGCA
RNAcentral lists this transfer RNA (75 nucleotides) under Gemmatimonadota bacterium. Its description in RNAcentral is "Gemmatimonadetes bacterium tRNA-Ser". It matches the Rfam family "tRNA". Rfam says of the family: Transfer RNA (tRNA) molecules are approximately 80 nucleotides in length. Their secondary structure includes four short double-helical elements and three loops (D, anti-codon, and T loops). Lineage: Bacteria; Pseudomonadati; Gemmatimonadota. The record is from RNAcentral.